AAAUUGAAGAGUUUGAUCAUGGCUCAGAUUGAACGCUGGCGGCAGGCCUAACACAUGCAAGUCGAACGGUAACAGGAAGCAGCUUGCUGCUUCGCUGACGAGUGGCGGACGGGUGAGUAAUGUCUGGGAAACUGCCUGAUGGAGGGGGAUAACUACUGGAAACGGUGGCUAAUACCGCAUAACGUCGCAAGACCAAAGAGGGGGACCUUCGGGCCUCUUGCCAUCAGAUGUGCCCAGAUGGGAUUAGCUUGUUGGUGAGGUAACGGCUCACCAAGGCGACGAUCCCUAGCUGGUCUGAGAGGAUGACCAGCCACACUGGAACUGAGACACGGUCCAGACUCCUACGGGAGGCAGCAGUGGGGAAUAUUGCACAAUGGGCGCAAGCCUGAUGCAGCCAUGCCGCGUGUAUGAAGAAGGCCUUCGGGUUGUAAAGUACUUUCAGCGGGGAGGAAGGUGUUGCGGUUAAUAACCGCAGCAAUUGACGUUACCCGCAGAAGAAGCACCGGCUAACUCCGUGCCAGCAGCCGCGGUAAUACGGAGGGU
This 543-nucleotide ribosomal RNA is filed under the name Salmonella enterica subsp. enterica serovar Infantis. RNAcentral's name for it is "partial 16S ribosomal RNA". It matches the Rfam family "Bacterial small subunit ribosomal RNA", at positions 1 to 533 of the family's 1533-position model. The record is from RNAcentral. RNAcentral also lists the same sequence under 1 other name. Lineage: Bacteria; Pseudomonadati; Pseudomonadota; Gammaproteobacteria; Enterobacterales; Enterobacteriaceae.